CUCUAUAUUUCUCUUUAUCUCUUUUUACUAUAUCCUAUCUUUUUAUUUAAUGAUAGUAUAAUAUACUUUUAUAUUUCCUUAAUACAUGAAACAUGGUAAAAUAUCAUAAAAAUGAAUUAACCAGAUGCAUAAAUAGAAUUGCAUGUUGAUCCUGGUAGCCCUAUUCUGUUUAAAGGAUCACCUGAGAUCUGUAGUUAAAUGAUCAAUCUGAAUAGUUAAUGUUAAUGCCAUGAUAUAUUUGUGAGUUUCUAUUUGUCCUGGUAACUCUAAAUCUAUUUUUUACUUUUCUUAUAUGCUUCAAUGAGGUCUGUGUCAUCCAUGAAUAUUUUUCUACAAUUAUAAUCUAUAAAUUCUUAGAAAUUUUGUUAUGGAUUUGUAUGUAGUUAGUGCUUGCUAUUUUAUUGAAAUUGUAUAAUGUUACUUUUAAUUUUUUCCUUCAACUUGCAUCUCUGUGGCCAAACUGAUUUUCUAUUAACAUUAAUUUUGUGUUACAGUUGAUUGCUACUGUUGCUUUUUUCUUGCUGCAAAGUCAGAGGAAGCUCCACGCCCUUUGAAUAACGUAUUGAGAGCGUCCAGUGAAAUUCUAAAUCCUAUUAGUAUCUGUUGUUACGCGGAGUAUCUGGCAUUCUAAUGUAACGCCGAAUUGGUUAACCAAGUGCAUUUGAUUGAGUGGUAUUACAGAUUAACUGCAUUUGAUUCUUUUAGAAAUUUGGUAAAAAGAAAAGCCCAUGGGCUGGCCCUGACCCAUAGGGCUUUGAGGCUUUUUAGCCCUGUGGGCUUUUUCAAUAAAAUAUUUUUUGGCCCUGUGGGCUUUUUUGGCCCCAACCCACAUGGGUUAGGGCCAGGACCUAUUAAAUGGGCUAGUUUGACAGCUCUACUCACAGCACCAUCAAUUCGAAACCAGCCACCGCGCCACCACCUACUCCAGUCUCGUCGUCGCCGACGACGCCACACCCCCGUAGUCACCGCCGGCCAUGGCGUCAAUCCCCUUCUCUCCUCUUGCUUCGAAGAGAUAACGAUCUUGCCCCUCCGCAGUGCGUCUUAACCGUUGCCGGUGAAGGCACUUGCUGCUGCCGCCACGAGUCAUCGUCACAGGAAACCCUAGUCGGACCACCGCCAAGCGCAACCACUACUUACCAUCAGGACCAUCAACGACCACAGCUCCAAGCUCAGCUUCUCUUCCCUCUUCGCGUGAGAGAGAUAGCUCUCCCUUUUGAGCUCGAAGCCACCACCACCGGCGGAACUGUUCGCCGUCACCUCCACCGAACAGGCUGCCAUUCACCGCCUGACGCAGCGCCAACCAUGGAUCGGAUUCUACCUCCGCCUAACCUUCCUUGCCGUGACUCUCACACGCUAGAGAUUCUUAUUUCAUUUCUAAGGUUUUUCCUUUUCUUCCAAACCCUUCUUUCUUCACUUCCUUUCACUUACACUAUCACUCUCAGUCUCCUUCACUUGACCAUGACAAUGUUCGGGACCUGGUCUCCCAAUUUCGUAGCAUGUUUCAUAUGCGUCCUGUUCCUCCCAUCUACCAAUUUGAGAAGAUUUUGGGAUCUCUUACAAGGAUGAAACACUAUUCUACAACUAUUUCCCUUUUUAAGGAAAUGGAACUCAAGGGAAUUCAGAGUAAUCUUGUCAUUUUCAGCAUCGUCAUCAAUUGUUUCUGUCAUUUACAUCAAAUGACCUUUGCCUUCUCUGUUCUUGCCAAAAUUCUCAAACUUGGUUAUCAUCCCGAUGUCGUAACCUUAAGUACCCUCAUUAAAGGUCUUUGUCUUAAUAAUGAAGUCACAAAAGCUGCUGCUAUCAAGUUGCUCAGAAUAAUAGAACACGGAUUAUGUAAGUCUAUUGUGGCAAUGUACUGUGUAAUUGACUCUUUAUUCAAAGAUAAUCUUGUAGAAGAGGUUUAUGAUAUGGUUAUUAAAGUGAUGUCAAACAACAUCAUGCCUGAUGUUUAUAUAUAUACUGUAAUGAUCGAUGUUUUAUGUAAGAAAAAAAAAUAAAAGAAGUGUCUAUAUGAUAGUUUUUGCAUCAUUGUCUUAAAUACUUCAAAUGUCUUGUCUAUAUGAUAAUUUUUGCAAAACGUUUGUAUCAAGAUGUAAAGUGCUAAACACAUGUUCCUCUUGUGCAUUUUCUCAAAGAGAUUCAUGGUCUCAUCCACUCUUUCACUCUUACAUAAUCUAUUAAUCAUGAUAUUGUUGCUGUAAACAUUAGGAGUUAUUCCAAUUUGGGUCAUAGCAUUAAAUACGUGUUUAGCCCUUUGCACCUUGUUAACUAAAAUAUAGCCAUCCAUCAAAGUGCAUAUAUCAUUGUUACCUUUAGCACUUUGAUGGAUGGGUAUAUUUUAGUUAACAAGGUGCAAAGUGCUAAACACAUUUAAUGCUAUGACCCAAAUUGGAAUAAUUCCUAAUGUUUACAGCAAUAAUAUCAUGAUUAAUGGAUUAUGUAAGAGUGAAAGAGUGGAUGAGGCCAUGAAUCUCUUUCAGAAUAUGCAGAAGAGAAACAUGUGUUUAGCACUUUAUACCUUGAUAUAGGCUUUUUGCAAAAACUAUCAUAUAGACAAAGCAUUUGAAGUAUUCAAGACAGUGAUGCCAAAACUAUCAUAUAAACACUUCUUUUAUCUUUCUUUCCUUACAUAAAGCAUCGAUGAUUACAAUUUAGAUAUAAACACCAGGCAUGAUGUUGUUUGAGAUCAUUUUAAUAAUCAUAUCAUAAGUCUCUUUUGCAAGAUAAUCUUUAAACAGAGAGUCAAUUAUAGUGGCAUAGAUUACCAAUUAGACUUACAUAGUCUACCUUCUAUUAUAGUGGCUCCAAAAUUCGCUCUUAAGGCUCGACAGCUAUGAUGACUUGGGCACAAGCCCAAUUUCCUUAGUCUAGUAUUUCUUUUACUUGUAUUAGAGAUGUGUACAAUGUGUUAGGCAUGUGGUACAUUUAGCCUUAUAUAUAGGCAUGCUAACACAUCUUGUAGGGACUUUUGAGAUAAUGAAUUAAUUUCCUGUUGAGAUUACUCCAGAAUUAAUUCCUUGAAAGUCAAGGCUGAAGAAUCCAAGGGAUUCCUCAACCACCUUCCACUCACGUACCAUUCUUUCAUUCUCCAACAUCAGAUAUUUCUCUCUCCUCCACCUAAACACCACUCAACUUCAGCCGCAUGGCUCAAUCAGCGUCAGCCCUUAUUUCCUACGCUGCAUUUUCAUUCUCACACACCACGGAACCAUUCUCUCACCUUUCUCUGCUUGGAAGCUAGGGUUUCUUCACAGACCAAUGUCUUCCACCACAGAUUCCCAUCCUAUCCACCGGUAAAUUUGUUUUUCCUUCCUAGAUCCACCUUCUCAUCAUCAUCUCCUUCACUUUAACCGAACGUUUUCCUCGGUUUCCUUCACUUUCACCGAACCAAACUCCAUUUUCGUUCCAGUCUUCGGUUCAGUCGGUGAAACCUUCUUUUUCACCGAUUAAAACACUUCAGAUCCCUAAACUUAGCACUUAUACCGAACAAACCACCCUAAACCCUAGGUUCUCCGUUUCCGGUCUUCCGCUGCGUCUAAGGUCCGGUUCGCCAGUCGAUCCGUGCCAGUUUCUUCGGCUCGUCACCGAUCUGCCUGAUUUGAAGAAUAUUAAUCAAAUACUUAUUGGAUUUGAUGAGCAUUGCUUUGCUGAUCAGAGAUUGUAUGUGAUGUAUAAAAUUCUUCAAAUUGAGCUGACGGCUAAUGAUAUAAUAAUUAAGUUGACAGGGGAAGCUCAAAUUUUUGAACGCUGAACGAUGUUCAUUUCUUCUUUAUUUUUAGUGAAUCCUUAAAUUUUGAUGAGCUUCAUAGUUUUUUGAAUCCAUCAAGCAUUUCAAUUUCUCAUAAUUCCUUGUCAUCAAACCCAUCUUCACUAGCAGAGCAAUCAGCAUAUCUGACGUGUGAAAAUGUUAAACUGGUAUAUCAUUUCUUCUUUAUUUUCAGUGAAUCACUUCUGUAGCUUUGUCACCAGUUACAUACUUUCUACUGCUCGGUAAUGAUCAAUUGUUCAUGUAGGAACCAUUACAUGCUUGCCCAGCUAUAUCAAUAAUUAUAAUUGGAGAGAAUCAUUGACGGGGCCUUUACCGAAAAGUAAUGGAUAUUGAAACCAAACUUUCUUUGUGUAGGUGCUGCCCCAUUUGUAGAUAGAAGUGAUAUAACUGCUCUUAUAAUGGGACUUGAUACUUAAUUUUUGUUUAUUCCCUUCUGUUAUAUUUGUCUUCCAUCACUUUAUUAUUAACAUGGAGAGUUUGAAACAGCAAUGCCACCUUAGUGACUGAGUUUUUCUUCAUUGAUGCAAUUUUCCAACAAACACCGUGUGCUUUUGAUUGGAACUCCUCUCCAGAAUUUGUAUGACUGGAUAGGUUAUUCUGAUUACAUGUCGAGUAUGUUGAAAGGUAGGGGAGCUAUCCUUGUACUUGUAUUUUUGUGAUGUUAUGAUCAUACGAUACAUUAGAAUAAUCGAAUGGUUACAAAGAGAUCUAUCCUUAAAAAUGUAUGGUUUGAAUGGAUGAUUUUGCAUUUAUAGUCAAUAUGAAUGGAUGGAAUGGAUAUAAAUAUUUGUUGUGAAAUGAUGAACUCUAAUUACUCUAUACCGAGAUUGAUGAUAUUGAGACAUGUCUAAUAGCUGCAUGUGAAGGACAUGAGUAUACUCAAGUCCAAAGCUGCGUGUGGAGAUGACUAUUUUAGUUUAUUUUAGUUAAAUGCAGUUUUAGUUUAUUUUACUUUA
Long non-coding RNA from Vigna radiata var. radiata (mung bean), 4722 nucleotides. RefSeq lists it as uncharacterized. The record is from RefSeq and is a predicted model, not a curated record. Lineage: Eukaryota; Viridiplantae; Streptophyta; Magnoliopsida; Fabales; Fabaceae. The transcript is spliced from 2 exons.